RNAcentral lists this transfer RNA (82 nucleotides) under Rhamnusium bicolor. Its description in RNAcentral is "tRNA-OTHER". The record is from RNAcentral. Lineage: Eukaryota; Metazoa; Arthropoda; Insecta; Coleoptera; Cerambycidae.
GGAUUCGUGGUCGAGUGGUAAGGACACUUGCCUCUCACCCUGGAGUCCCGGGUUCGAUCUCCGGUCGAGGAGCUAGGAUUCU